AGAAUGAACGCUGGCGGCGUGCUUUACACAUGCAAGUCGAGCGAGGCGGGUAGCAAUACCCAGUCGAGCGGCGAACGGGUGAGUAACGCGUGGAUAACCUGCCCAGAGGUGGGGGAUAACCCGGGGAAACUCGGGCUAAUACCGCAUGAUACCGAGAGGUCAAAGGGGGCUCGCAAGAGCUUCCGCCAUUGGAGGGGUCCGCGUUCGAUUAGCUAGUUGGUAGGGUAAUGGCCUACCAAGGCGACGAUCGAUAGCCGGCCUGAGAGGGUGAUCGGCCACACUGGAACUGAGACACGGUCCAGACUCCUACGGGAGGCAGCAGUGGGGAAUUUGCGCAAUGGGCUAACGCCUGACGCAGCAACGCCGCGUGGAGGAUGAAGGUCCUUGGAUUGUAAACUCCUGUCAGCAGGAAAAGCGAACUACGGUUAAUACCCGUGGAGUUGAUUGUACCUGCAGAGGAACGCCCGGCUAACUCGUGUGCCUAGCACGCCG
This 492-nucleotide ribosomal RNA is filed under the name uncultured soil bacterium. RNAcentral describes it as "bacterial SSU rRNA". It matches the Rfam family "Bacterial small subunit ribosomal RNA", at positions 26 to 517 of the family's 1533-position model. The record is from RNAcentral.